UUCCAGGCAGUUUGGAUCUCAUUUAACUGCUUCUUCCUGUUGACAUUGUCUUCUGGAAUACUCCUUGAUUGAUUGACAGCUCUGCAAACUUGCACCUCUUUGCCUCUGUUUGCAGGCUUUACUCCAUUAUACUUUUCCAUAGGACACAUCCAAGUUUAUUCACUUCUAGAGGGAUGGACCAUUCAAUGACAAAUCAGCAUUCUAUGAAGUUCAGACUUCCCUAAAACUCCAGGCUGGACACUUUCCCCAUCAUCCCAUUGUAGCACUGAGCUAGGAAUAAAGAAAACAGCAUGGUCCAGUGGAAAGGGGGCUGGACUUGGAGAAGACUUGAGUGAAAGUCCCAGUUCUGAUGCUUACAACCUAUGUGAAUUUGGUGGCUCUUGGGGGGAUGCCUGUAGUGCCUGUAAGCACUGAAGAGGUGAGCCACGUGGAAAGAAGGUCCCUCAAAUUCCUAAUCUAGCCCAUUAUGAAGGCCUCUAUCUCUCAUAGCAUCUACACCGAUCUCUACAACAGGAAAAGAAAUAAUCUUUUAGGGUAAGUAUUGGAUCUAUCUUUCUGACUUCUCCAUGCGAGAGUUAUUCCUUUUUUUUAUUAAUUUUAGGGAGAAUGAAAGACUGGAUUAACAAAGUAAAUUUCUGAUCAAAACAACUUAUUUCACUCUGUGAAUGAGUGUAAAUAUAAGUAAGAGAA
Molecule: long non-coding RNA, 690 nt
Organism: Monodelphis domestica (gray short-tailed opossum)
Lineage: Eukaryota; Metazoa; Chordata; Mammalia; Didelphimorphia; Didelphidae
Source: RefSeq, a predicted model, not a curated record